This 253-nucleotide ribosomal RNA is filed under the name uncultured bacterium. Its description in RNAcentral is "partial 16S ribosomal RNA". It matches the Rfam family "Bacterial small subunit ribosomal RNA", at positions 524 to 776 of the family's 1533-position model. The record is from RNAcentral.
UACAGAGGGUGCAAGCGUUGUUCGGAAUUAUUGGGCGUAAAGCGCGUGUAGGCGGCUUUGCAAGUCGGGUGUGAAAGCCCUCAGCUUAACUGAGGAAGUGCGCCCGAAACUGCAGAGCUUGAGUACCGGAGAGGGUGGCGGAAUUCCCCAAGUAGAGGUGAAAUUCGUAGAUAUGGGGAGGAACACCGGUGGCGAAGGCGGCCACCUGGACGGAUACUGACGCUGAGACGCGAAAGCGUGGGUAGCAAACAGG